UGGAUCCAUUUGACAAUCAGUCCAGCAUUCAGGAAUCUCAAAAGCAACGCAUUUACAGCAUCUUCCCAUGGCGAAUCCCUCGGCAUCACAUACGAGAUGGUAUAGUACUUGGGGCACUCGGGAACCACCCAAAUCUUAUUGAGCAGCGUGAACCGCGAGGAUUCCAAUAUCAAGGAGGUAUAUCUGGAGACCCCAGCCUUGUUCCUAAAUCUGGCCACCUCAUCGAUGACAUCCGCACGUAGAUCUCGAUUCCAGUACAACGGAUGUAUAUACACCGUGGCCAAGCUGGACUCGAAAAUCGCGCCGAAUAUCACGCUCACCAGACACAGCGUUCCAAUGAACAUCCUUUCGGCAUAGCUCGCUGGCAGGUGACUCAAGUUGAGUCGCACCCAAACCACCCAAGUAUCCACCACAAUGCCCAAUGCCUGUCCCAAAAUAUGCUGAUUGCCCAGACUCACUAUCCUCAGCUUCAGAUUAAUCACCCGCAAUGUUAGCCAAAUGAGAGCACAAGCAAAGGCGGUCAACACGAAUCCCAGCCAAAUAUCAUAGCCAACUGCAAAUAUGGGCAAUAUCGAUUGCGGUAUACGACUGGCUUUCGGCACAUAUAUGCACAACUCAUCGUCGUACACGGCCACAGUGAAGUCCAUGUACUGCUGCACCAGGUAAUCCUUGACGAAGAAUCCCGUGAGGCAAAUGUCCAGGCCAUCGUUGAUGAUGGAACCGAUGGCGCCAUUGUAGCUCCCAUUUGCAUAGCGUUCUCUGUUGCGAACUUCCACUAAAAAGUUUUGGGUUCAACUCGCCGUUUCCUUGUUCAGGACCCCAAUCGGCCGUAUAUAUAUUGAUAUUCAUGCAGUGGCACUUGUAUAUGGACACCGAGUGCCCGCUGUCCGAUAACCGCUGGCUGGCGGAGCAACAAAGAGCAUCAAUAAACUUCGCCUUGUGUAGUUUUCAAAAUGAAAAAUAAAUUGGAAAAUUGAAAAAGCAAUUCAUCGCAUUAGGAACGUGCAGUGAAUGGAGGUGGCUGCUGUUGGGAUACCACUCGCCCCUCGAAGCGUCGCCGAUGCCCAUUGACAAUGCCGAAGCUUUUUAUCGUCUUUGUGCCAGGUGCGUCCACCAGACAAUGGACGAGGGGCGGUGGGGCGCAUCCUUGACCAGGACCUCCUCAGUGCUGUUCGCCAGCUGCUAGUUUCGUGGGAAUAUCUCUGAAGUGUGGAAAAAGGAUUCAGAUAUUAGGUACUUUUUCACCAAGCAGCUGAAAAGAAGGCAGCAAUUUUGUAGCUAUUUGUAAAGCUAUUUGAUGUGUGAUGAUAAAGAUACUUUCCAUCAGAUACUUUCCUUUAAAUACUUUCCUUCAGAUACUUUCCUCCAGAUACUUUCCUUCAGAUACUUUCCUUUAGAUACUUUCCUUCAGAUACUUUUCUACAGAUACUUUCCUUUAAAUACUUUCCUACAGAUACUUUCCUACAGAUACUUUCUUACAGAUACUUUCCUUUAAAUACUUUCCUUUAGAUACUUUCCUUUAGAUACUUUCAAAUACUUUCCUUCAGAUACGUUCCUUCAGAUACGUUUUUUCAGAUACUUUCCUCCAGAUACUUUCUUACAGAUACUUUCCUUUAGAUAGUUUCCUUUAGAUACUUUCAAAUACUUUCCUUCAAAUACGUUCCUUCAGGUACGUUCCUUCAGAUACUUUCCUUCAGAUACUUUCCUCCAGAUACUUUCUUCAGAUAUUUUCCUCCAGAUACUUUUCUUCAGAUACUUUCCUCCAGAUACUUUUCUUCAGAUAUUUUCCUCCAGAUACUUUUCUUCAGAUACGUUCCUUCAGAUACUUUCCUCCAGAUACUUUUCUUCAGAUACUUUCCUUCAGAUACGUUUCUUCAGAUACGUUCCUUCAGAUACUUUCCUCCAGAUACUUUUCUUCAGAUACUUUCCUUCAGAUACGUUUCUUCAGAUACUUUCCUUCAGAUACUUUCCUCCAGAUACUUUCUUCAGAUAUUUUCCUCCAGAUACUUUUCUUCAGAUACUUUCCUCCAGAUACUUUUCUUCAGAUACUUUCCUUCAGAUACGUUUCUUCAGAUACGUUCCUUCAGAUACUUUCCUUCAGAUACUUUCCUCCAGAUACUUUCUUCAGAUACUUUCCUCCAGAUACUUUUCUUCAAAUUCUUUCCUUCAGAUACUUUCCUUCAGAUACGUUCCUUCAGAUACUUUCCUUCAGAUACUUUCCUCCAGAUACUUUCCUUCAGAUACUUUCUUUCAGAUACGUUCCUUCAGAUACUUUUCUUCAGAUACUUUCCUUCAGGUACUUUCCUUAAGAUACGUUCCUUCAGGUAGUUUCCUUCA
Molecule: long non-coding RNA, 2337 nt
Organism: Drosophila simulans
Lineage: Eukaryota; Metazoa; Arthropoda; Insecta; Diptera; Drosophilidae
Exons: 3
Source: RefSeq, a predicted model, not a curated record